UUUCCGUAGGUGAACCUGCGGAAGGAUCAUUGUCGGUACUCAUAUACUACGUAUAACGCGUACUAACACCCGUGUGCACUUGCGAAAGGGGGUCGGUCGUUGACUCGAUCCCCCUCGCCUUACCUCUAUACCAACGCCCUUCUGUCGUACGCGUGUUUUAUUUUGAAAUUUUAUUUGACACAACUUUCAACAACGGAUCUCUUGGCUUUC
Molecule: unclassified non-coding RNA, 210 nt
Filed under: soil metagenome
Description: partial contains small subunit ribosomal RNA, internal transcribed spacer 1, and 5.8S ribosomal RNA
Source: RNAcentral